GCUCUUGGCAAAUGGCCUCAAUUUUUUCAGUGAAAUAUGGAGGAAAGAUCCUCAGCUGAGAGGGUAUGGGAAAGGGUGCCACGAAGGCUUGAGAAGUCAUGAAAAGGUUAAGAAAAACUGUAGUGGAAGGUUGGAUACUGACUUAAGUAAGGAGAUAGGCAGGAUUUUCCUGCUGCAAUGAAGACCCAGUUGGGAUUAUGUAACAUAAAUGUGUAGUAGACCCACUCGGUAUGGUUCAAUGGUUUUCUCCAAUUUAAUUUAGGAGGUUAUAAAUGGGAGCAAAGAUGGUGGAAGUAAUCCAAGGGUGGGGGUUUAUGGGACAUGAUAGUAAUAGGAUAAGGGAUCGAGGGGCUUGAGGGUGGAGGAUAGAAUUGUACUAGUUCAGUAAGAGGUCAAGAUAGGGAAAGGAGAAAAGUAUGUCCUUUUUGUAGGGGUGAUAGUGAUAGUCUGGGAAAGAACUCCGGGUGGAAGGAGUGGAGGCCAUAGUGAGGUCAUAGAAAAGGGUGAGGGGACAUGCGAUAGAAGAAAAGAUAGAAUGAUAAAAGAUUAUGACUGAAUAAAGGAAUUCAGGAACAUGAGAGUGGAAUAUUUGUGGUGACGGCAGGAUCAAGGGUCUGACCAUUUCUGUAUCUAGCUGAGGUGGAGUGGAGGAGUAGGUCAUAGGAAAUGAACAACUUAGGCCUGGGAAGUUAGAGAGUUUGAGGGAAUAUUUCUAUGUAUGUUGAAGUCCCCAGCCAUGAAGGCAGGAGUCAGGAUGGAGAGAAAGAAUGUGAGCCAGGCACUAACUUCAUAGAACUAAGGAGAAUUUCCUGGUGGGAAGGGUGAAUAGAUAAUAGCUAUUGGAAGGGUGAUUUGGACAAUAAAUUCAUAUCAAUGAACUUCAAAGGAGGAGGAAUUCCUUGGUGAUAGCGGCAACAAGAGAAUCUGAAAUGGGAAAUGGGGAGCAAGGAAUAUUCCACUUUCACCACCAUGACCAGAGAUGGUGGUUUGACUUGUCUGACCCAUUCUGCCUGCUGUUUCUCCCCCACAAUCUGAAUCUCUUCCUGUGAAUGCCAGAAUACCUGAUUCCCAUCAGGUAAGGGCAGGUGAAGUCUAGCCUUUGUUGUCAUUUCUAUUAACAAAUGCCUAUCUAUUUUUGAUGCUAAAUCAUUUGACAACUGCUAGGUCUUUGAUGGUAACAAUUUUCUGCUUCAGAGGUUCUAUAGUUUUGGUGCUGAAGAGGGUGGAGCUGUGACAUCAGCAAAGGCAGUUGAUGCCACAAGAAUUGCUUCCCCCCAAAUGGCUGCAGGUCUGAGAUUGAUAGCUGGGUUGGUGGGUAGAACCACUGACAUGAGAGCCCCUGCCAUCUUUAGUGCUUAAGAGGACUCUGAGUCCUAGACUGUCUCCAGCAGGAUUUGAGAAAUGGCAAUGGUCU
RNAcentral lists this long non-coding RNA (1414 nucleotides) under Monodelphis domestica (gray short-tailed opossum). Its description in RNAcentral is "lncRNA (ENSMODG00000041842.1)". Lineage: Eukaryota; Metazoa; Chordata; Mammalia; Didelphimorphia; Didelphidae. The record is from RNAcentral.